ACUGCGAGUGAAGCGGGAAAAGCUCAAAUUUAAAAUCUGGCGGUCUCCGGCCGUCCGAGUUGUAAUUUAGAGAAGCGUUAUCCGUGCUGGACCGUGUAUAAGUCUCCUGGAAUGGAGCGUCAUAGAGGGUGAGAAUCCCGUCUUUGACACGGACUACCAGUGCAUUGUGAUGCGCUCUCGACGAGUCGAGUUGUUUGGGAAUGCAGCUCAAAAUGGGUGGUAAAUGCCAUCUAAAGCUAAAUAUUGGCGAGAGACCGAUAGCGAACAAGUACCGUGAGGGAAAGAUGAAAAGAACUUUGGAAAGAGAGUUAAACAGUACGUGAAAUUGUCGAAAGGGAAACGGUUGCAGUCAGUCGCGUCCGCCGGGGAUCAACCUUGCUUUUGCUUGGCGUAUUUCCCGGUGGAUGGGUCAGCAUCAGUUUUGACCGCAGUUGAAAGGCUGGAGGAAUGUGGCACCUUCGGGUGUGUUAUAGCCUCCUGUCAUAUGCUGCGGUUGGGACUGAGGAACUCAGCACGCCGCAAGGCCGGGAUUCGUCCACGUUCGUGCUUAGGAUGCUGGCAUAAUGUCUGUAACCGACCCGUCUUGAAACACGGACCAAGGAGUCUAACAUGCACGCGAGUGUUUGGGUGGCAAACCCGAGCGCGUAAUGAAAGUGAAAGUUGAGACCUCUGUCGUGGAGGGCAUCGACGCCCGGACCAG
This 700-nucleotide ribosomal RNA is filed under the name uncultured fungus. RNAcentral describes it as "eukaryotic LSU rRNA". It matches the Rfam family "Eukaryotic large subunit ribosomal RNA", at positions 86 to 773 of the family's 3401-position model. Lineage: Eukaryota; Fungi. The record is from RNAcentral.